Molecule: ribosomal RNA, 253 nt
Filed under: uncultured bacterium
Lineage: Bacteria
Description: partial 16S ribosomal RNA
Rfam family: Bacterial small subunit ribosomal RNA
Source: RNAcentral
UACGUAGGCAGCGAGCGUUGUUCGGAGUUACUGGGCGUAAAGGGUGCGUAGGCGGUCGGGUAAGUCUGAUGUGAAAUCUUCAAGCUUAACUUGGAAACUGCAUCGGAUACUAUUCGGCUAGAGGAAUGGAGGGGAGACUGGAAUACUUGGUGUAGCAGUGAAAUGCGUAGAUAUCAAGUGGAACACCAGUGGCGAAGGCGAGUCUCUGGACAUUUCCUGACGCUGAGGCACGAAAGCCAGGGGAGCAAACGGG